GAUGAACGCUGGCGGCGUGCCUAAUACAUGCAAGUCGAGCGAACAGAUGAGGAGCUUGCUCCUCUGACGUUAGCGGCGGACGGGUGAGUAACACGUGGAUAACCUACCUAUAAGACUGGGAUAACUUCGGGAAACCGGAGCUAAUACCGGAUAAUAUGUUGAACCGCAUGGUUCAAUAGUGAAAGACGGUUUUGCUGUCACUUAUAGAUGGAUCCGCGCCGCAUUAGCUAGUUGGUAAGGUAACGGCUUACCAAGGCGACGAUGCGUAGCCGACCUGAGAGGGUGAUCGGCCACACUGGAACUGAGACACGGUCCAGACUCCUACGGGAGGCAGCAGUAGGGAAUCUUCGGCAAUGGGCGAAAGCCUGACGGAGCAACGCCGCGUGAGUGAUGAAGGUCUUCGGAUCGUAAAACUCUGUUAUUAGGGAAGAACAAAUGUGUAAGUAACUAUGCACGUCUUGACGGUACCUAAUCAGAAAGCCACGGCUAACUACGUG
This 497-nucleotide ribosomal RNA is filed under the name uncultured bacterium. RNAcentral's name for it is "partial 16S ribosomal RNA". It matches the Rfam family "Bacterial small subunit ribosomal RNA", at positions 28 to 507 of the family's 1533-position model. The record is from RNAcentral.